This 623-nucleotide ribosomal RNA is filed under the name uncultured bacterium. Its description in RNAcentral is "bacterial SSU rRNA". The stretch from base 1 to 540 matches the Rfam family "Bacterial small subunit ribosomal RNA", at positions 338 to 873 of the family's 1533-position model. The record is from RNAcentral.
CCUACGGGAGGCAGCAGUGGGGAAUUUUGGACAAUGGGCGAAAGCCUGAUCCAGCAAUGCCGCGUGAGUGAAGAAGGCCUUCGGGUUGUAAAGCUCUUUUGUCAGGGAAGAAACGGUGAGGGCUAAUAUCUCUUGCUAAUGACGGUACCUGAAGAAUAAGCACCGGCUAACUACGUGCCAGCAGCCGCGGUAAUACGUAGGGUGCAAGCGUUAAUCGGAAUUACUGGGCGUAAAGCGUGCGCAGGCGGUUUUGUAAGUCUGUCGUGAAAUCCCCGGGCUCAACCUGGGAAUUGCGAUGGAGACUGCAAGGCUAGAAUCUGGCAGAGGGGGGUAGAAUUCCACGUGUAGCAGUGAAAUGCGUAGAGAUGUGGAGGAACACCGAUGGCGAAGGCAGCCCCCUGGGUCAAGAUUGACGCUCAUGCACGAAAGCGUGGGGAGCAAACAGGAUUAGAUACCCUGGUAGUCCACGCCCUAAACGAUGUCUACUAGUUGUCGGGUUUUAAUUAACUUGGUAACGCAGCUACGCGUGAGUAGACCGCCGCGGAGGUACGGUCGUCGAGAGUUAAACUUACGUAAGAAGUUAGUAGGCGNGAGAGNGCGACGGACGACGACGAGGGAGGAGG